Cynocephalus volans (Philippine flying lemur) is the source of this 105-nucleotide small nuclear RNA. The record is from RefSeq and is a predicted model, not a curated record. Lineage: Eukaryota; Metazoa; Chordata; Mammalia; Dermoptera; Cynocephalidae.
GUUCGCUUUGGCAGCACAUAUACUAAAAUUGGAACGAUACUGGGAAGAUUUGCACAGUUCCUUUGCAAGGGUGACAUGAAAAUUUGUAAAGCGUUCCAUUAAAAA